Molecule: ribosomal RNA, 497 nt
Filed under: uncultured bacterium
Lineage: Bacteria
Description: partial 16S ribosomal RNA
Rfam family: Bacterial small subunit ribosomal RNA
Source: RNAcentral
GAUGAACGCUGGCGGCGUGCCUAAUACAUGCAAGUCGAGCGAACGGACGAGAAGCUUGCUUUUCUGAUGUUAGCGGCGGACGGGUGAGUAACACGUGGAUAACCUACCUAUAAGACUGGGAUAACUUCGGGAAACCGGAGCUAGUACCGGAUCAUAUUUUGAACCGCAUGGUUCAAAAGUGAAAGACGGUCUUGCUGUCACUUAUAGAUGGAUCCGCGCUGCAUUAGCUAGUUGGUAAGGUAACGGCUUACCAAGGCAACGAUGCAUAGCCGACCUGAGAGGGUGAUCGGCCACACUGGAACUGAGACACGGUCCAGACUCCUACGGGAGGCAGCAGUAGGGAAUCUUCCGCAAUGGGCGAAAGCCUGACGGAGCAACGCCGCGUGAGUGAUGAAGGUCUUCGGAUCGUAAAACUCUGUUAUUAGGGAAGAACAUAUGUGUAAGUAACUGUGCACAUCUUGACGGUACCUAAUCAGAAAGCCACGGCUAACUACGUG